GAGGAAUCUGUAUAUUAAUCGAUAAUCCACGUUUUAUCUAACCAAGCUUAGCAUUUUCAGUNUGGAUAUCGUUGUUGUCAAAUUGAAUUUGCUAAUUACUUUNUUAAUUGUUUCUGUUAAUAAGACAAAUCAAGGUGCAGCUAAUAGUUUAGGGUUAAUAUGGAUUACAUUGUUGGUAGGUUCGGAUUAAGCUUUGUAAUGUAAGCUUAUAAAGUUGGAUUUAGUUGUAUAAAUAUAUUAGAAAAAUAUUUUGAAAUUGUUAUAAAUUGUGU
This 272-nucleotide ribosomal RNA is filed under the name Lithobius obscurus. Its description in RNAcentral is "partial 12S ribosomal RNA". Lineage: Eukaryota; Metazoa; Arthropoda; Chilopoda; Lithobiomorpha; Lithobiidae. The record is from RNAcentral.